RNAcentral lists this ribosomal RNA (440 nucleotides) under uncultured bacterium. RNAcentral's name for it is "partial 16S ribosomal RNA". It matches the Rfam family "Bacterial small subunit ribosomal RNA", at positions 338 to 795 of the family's 1533-position model. The record is from RNAcentral.
CCUACGGGUGGCAGCAGUGGGGAAUAUUGCACAAUGGGGGAAACCCUGAUCCAGCGACGCCGCGUGAGUGAAGAAGUAUCUCGGUAUGUAAAGCUCUAUCAGCAGGGAAAUAAAUGACGGUACCUGAUCCAGAAGCCCUGGAUAACUACGUGCCAGCAGCCGCGGUAAUACGUAAGGGGCAAGCGUUAUCCGGAUUUACUGGGUGUAAAGGGAGCGUAGACGGCAGCGCAAGUCUGAAGUGAAAUGCCGGGGCUUAACCCCGGAACUGCUUUUGAAACUGUGCAGCUAGAGUGCAGGAGAGGUAAGUGGAAUUCCUAGUGUAGCGGUGAAAUGCGUAGAUAUUAGGAGGAACACCAGUUGCGAAGGCGGCUUACUGGACUGUAACUGACGUUGAGGCUCGAAAGCGUGGGGAGCAAACAGGAUUAGAUACCCCGGUAGUC